Molecule: non-coding RNA, 633 nt
Filed under: Klebsiella pneumoniae IS43
Lineage: Bacteria; Pseudomonadati; Pseudomonadota; Gammaproteobacteria; Enterobacterales; Enterobacteriaceae
Description: LSU rRNA
Rfam family: Bacterial large subunit ribosomal RNA
Source: RNAcentral
GGUUAAGCGACUAAGCGUACACGGUGGAUGCCCUGGCAGUCAGAGGCGAUGAAGGACGUGCUAAUCUGCGAAAAGCGUCGGUAAGGUGAUAUGAACCGUUAUAACCGGCGAUGUCCGAAUGGGGAAACCCAGUGUGAUUCGUCACACUAUCGUUAACUGAAUACAUAGGUUAACGAGGCGAACCGGGGGAACUGAAACAUCUAAGUACCCCGAGGAAAAGAAAUCAACCGAGAUUCCCCCAGUAGCGGCGAGCGAACGGGGAGCAGCCCAGAGUCUGAAUCAGCUUGUGUGUUAGUGGAACGGUCUGGAAAGUCCGACGGUACAGGGUGAUAGUCCCGUACACCAAAAUGCACAGGUUGUGAACUCGAAGAGUAGGGCGGGACACGUGGUAUCCUGUCUGAAUAUGGGGGGACCAUCCUCCAAGGCUAAAUACUCCUGACUGACCGAUAGUGAACCAGUACCGUGAGGGAAAGGCGAAAAGAACCCCGGCGAGGGGAGUGAAAAAGAACCUGAAACCGUGUACGUACAAGCAGUGGGAGCACCUUCGGGUGUGACUGCGUACCUUUGUAUAAUGGGUCAGCGACUUAUAUUCUGUAGCAAGGUUAACCGUAUAGGGGAGCCGCAGGGAAACCA